CAGCCUUCAAUCACAUCUUAACUUUUUUGUUUUUCCAAUUGGGCGUUUUUCUUCUUCUGCUGAUCCAUUCUUGCAAAAUUUUACCUCUAAUUUUCAACACCAAAUAAAUGUAAAAAGUGACAAAAUCUCCCUAUGAAUAUAUUUAAUUGCAGCUACAUGUGUUUUGUCUUUUUUUACGCAUAUGACAGAAACGCAUGGCAGCAUUUUAACUAAUACAAAUAUCAAAGGGCCCUGUACUGUAUGUUGGUGGCUUCAGGAGGUGCAGUCCUCGCCGUGCAUAACAAUUGCACCUGUCAGUGUGGACCGCGGCAAAAUUUAUGACCGCAAAUGUUAUGGUUGUAAACGGCCUCAGAGAGGAAUGAAAGGCAAAACACUCCUCAAGAGUCGCAGCUCUCAGAAGUGUAAAACUAAGCGUAGGUGGAAGGCAAGGGAAAGAAUUUCAUACUCGGCGACUUCUCCCAUGCAGAGGCUCGGCUUAUAAAUGAUGCCUCCAUUCCGGCUGAGUGCGAGUCUGCAGCUUAGACGCAGAGGGGAGGACAAAAACGGAGCUAAUCCACUGGUUUUAAAUGAAGCAUUUUGGCGGUGACGCAUCUUGUAAUGUGGAAAUCGUGGAGUGAAAUGGUGAAAUUCUUCCAGAUUUUACAUUGUAUAAUUUGCAUGUUUUUUUUCUUUUACUAACGUCUGAGAUGUUUAACAUGUAUAUUGCAUCAUGUUCUCUCAUUCAUCCUUAUUUAUUCGGGCUACAAACGAAAAAGGAACUCGCUGAAAUUGGACUCUGGCCUGCGUAAAUAAUUACAGGCUCAGUUAAGGCCAUGCUUCAUGUCUGUUUUCGUGAUUUAAGCCUCCCGCCAAACACCGUGAGCGUAAAUGUGUAGCCUAAUAACAAAUCACCCUUUCACCUUGUUAGCAGUUGACUGUGUCGUCCACUCCCUUCAUUAAAGAAGUGUUACUCACCGAAAUGUGCGCAGAUCUGUUUUAUGUCCCUCACGCAUUCAUCGCUGCUUCCAUCUCGACCUAGAAGACAAAUAAAGUUUAGUAAAAAUGUAGGUAUGGGAAUUAUUGCGAUGAAAAUAAACAUUAACAGGCCCAAUCUGUGCCACACUUUUUUCAAAAAUGCUGUUUAUCAUAUUACUAUUAUUUUUUUUUAAAAAUAGUAAUUAUCAAAAUUCUAAUUCUUACUGGCCAAUGAAUUCAAAAGUCUUUUUAAAAACCUGGAAAGCUCCACCUAUGACAGAUUUUUUUUAAAGUUACUGCUACAAUGCUUGAGAGUGAAAAGUCCUACAUGUGCACUUUUUAUACAAAGAGCCAGGCCAAAUAUUUAGCAGCCAUAAGCUUUUUUAGGUGACCUCUGGGUCAUUCAGCAUUAAGCCAAAGUUUAAUGAACAACGAGCUGUUUGGCUUCAAGUGGAUCCAAGUCUCAAAUAAAUUCAAAGCAGUUUUUCCUGCGGCGACAGAAACAGGACAAGAUGCUGCACCGACGGCAAGAAAAGCAGAAAUCCAACAUUUUAAGUUGAACUAUUUAAAAGGGAAAUAAUUCCUAUCUGGCUGCUGGAAAUUUGGAGGAUAAAUGGUUCAAAAAUAUGGCGAUGGAAAUGUGGGAUUUCUUCGUGUGGAAUAUUUGUGAAAGCUGCUUCGAUAAUCUGCGCCUCCACAACUCUUGAGCACACUGAGCUACUAGUCGCAGACAUGGUUCCUCUUUUCACACGGCUGUGUUUUUCGCCUACGCGCUGUUACGACAUUUCCAUAUACCGGUGGAGACAGUAUUCCCGAAAGAAUGGAAGGACUCGCAUUCAACUACCAAUAAAAAGCGAACAAGGUAUCCUUAUUCCAGAAAAAAAAAUCACUGGCAAUCAAUCACCCAGUGAAAUAUACAGGAAUUCAGAAACGGACAGGCCUGUUCAGAUUUGGAGCUAACAUUAGGAUUUUUUGGGGUGUUUCGGGGAAGCUUUAUGAUGACAAAUAAAGGCGCUGCCGUUAGAUACAA
This is a long non-coding RNA of Amphiprion ocellaris (clown anemonefish), 1984 nucleotides long. RefSeq lists it as uncharacterized. The transcript has 2 exons. NCBI's taxonomy places the organism in Eukaryota, Metazoa, Chordata, Actinopteri, Pomacentridae. The record is from RefSeq and is a predicted model, not a curated record.